This 443-nucleotide ribosomal RNA is filed under the name uncultured bacterium. RNAcentral's name for it is "partial 16S ribosomal RNA". It matches the Rfam family "Bacterial small subunit ribosomal RNA", at positions 338 to 795 of the family's 1533-position model. The record is from RNAcentral.
CCUACGGGUGGCAGCAGUGGGGAAUAUUGGGCAAUGGGCGCAAGCCUGACCCAGCAACGCCGCGUGAAGGAAGAAGGCUUUCGGGUUGUAAACUUCUUUUCUCAGGGACGAAGCAAGUGACGGUACCUGAGGAAUAAGCCACGGCUAACUACAUGCCAGCAGCCGCGGUAAUACGUAGGUGGCAAGCGUUAUCCGGAUUUACUGGGUGUAAAGGGCGUGUAGGCGGGACUGCAAGUCAGAUGUGAAAACUAUGGGCUCAACCCAUAGCCUGCAUUUGAAACUGUACUUCUUGAGUGCUGGAGAGGCAAUCGGAAUUCCGUGUGUAGCGGUGAAAUGCGUAGAUAUACGGAGGAACACCAGUGGCGAAGGCGGAUUGCUGGACAGUAACUGACGCUGAGGCGCGAAAGCGUGGGGAGCAAACAGGAUUAGAUACCCUUGUAGUC